Homo sapiens (human) is the source of this 1374-nucleotide long non-coding RNA. RefSeq lists it as uncharacterized. Lineage: Eukaryota; Metazoa; Chordata; Mammalia; Primates; Hominidae. The transcript has 3 exons. The record is from RefSeq and is a predicted model, not a curated record.
UCUUCUGAGAUCUGUUUGGUCAUCACCAUGAGAAGACUAUACCUCAGGUAGACACUAUUCUUUCUCCCAGGUAACCUGGAUCCCAAAAUGAGAACAGAAGAACCACUUCAUGUGACUUGAACCAGAUCUGAAAUCUGAAGUGAAGCCCAGAAGAGUGUAGCUGAAGACAAGUGAACCUACUUGACCAGCAAACGCACAUAUCAAAGGGCCCCCUGGCUACUAAGGAAGAUGAAUGAAGAAAGGGCCCAUACAUGGACACCUACUUCAUAGUAAAAUCUGAGGACAUGAAGUAUAAAGAGGACAUUCUGAACACUUCAAGAGACAGCACCCUUAGCUAGGCAUGCAGACAGGAUCUCACUGUCACCCAGGCUGGAGUACAGUGGCUCGAUCUUGGCUCACUGCAACCUCUGCUUCUCAGGCCCAAGCAAUUCUCCCACCUCAGCCUCUCAAGUAGCUAGGACCACAGGUGUAAGCCACCAUGCCCAGCUAAUUUUUUUUUGUAUUCUUUGUAUAGAUGGGGUUUCACCAUGUUGCCCAGGCUGGUCUCAAACUCCUGAGCUCAAAGUGACCCCCCCACUUCGACCUCCCAAAGUGCCCAGCUCCAUCUUAGGUUUUGCAGCAAUCACCCUGGGUACACAUAUGGAGAAUGGAAUGAAGAGGUAAGCACUGGAGGCAGAAAGACCAGUUAUGGAAUCAUUUGUUGUCUCUGUAAGAAAUGAUGAAGUCCAGAACGAAUUUCCAGAACUGGUAGUGGGUAGGAAAUAAGAAGACAAAUUUGACAGCAAUUGGGAGUUGAAAUCAAGAAUUGGUGAGACACUGAGGAUGACUAUAAAGUCUGGAAAUUAGGUGGAUGGUGAUGCUUUCUAUUCAAGAUCAGAACACAGGAGGUCAGUCAUUAAGGUAAGGAAUUCAUUUUGAUAUAUUGGGGUUGAAACACCAGUGGACUUCCAAAUAGAUUUGUCCUGUACCAGUGGGAAGUGUGAACCUGGAGCUCAAUAGAGAGCAGCAGAUGUUGGAAUUCUGCUUUUCCUAAGUGUGCAACUGCGUGAAGGAGAAAAGCACUUUUGGGCUCUCUUCAGUCAGGUUUCGGGGAAGCUGAAGUUUGCUCCCCUCCAUGAAUAUCUUAGUUCUGAAAAUUUACGUCUGCUGUGUCAAAUGAGGUCUGACUGCUAGACUCAAAGCCCAGGUGCUCUUUCUCAUUGGCCAAGGACGAUUCAGGGUCUGUUAUCUGUUUCAUAUCCUUCACCAAGGGGCAUAACAAUGUAUGCUCCUCAGUAGCCAUUCAUUCCCCAAAUUUGUUCUCUCUCCUUCCACUCUUCCUCCCUUACCUGCUCUAUUCUGACUCCUUCCCCAGCUCCUAAACUGAAACCUUCC